RNAcentral lists this ribosomal RNA (513 nucleotides) under uncultured bacterium. RNAcentral describes it as "bacterial SSU rRNA". It matches the Rfam family "Bacterial small subunit ribosomal RNA", at positions 9 to 519 of the family's 1533-position model. The record is from RNAcentral.
GAGUUUGAUCGUGGCUCAGGACGAACGCUGGCGGCGCGCCUAACACAUGCAAGUCGAACGGAGUUAUAUUGGCAGAAGUUUUCGGACGGACGCGGAUAUAACUUAGUGGCGAACGGGUGAGUAACACGUGAGCAACCUACCCUUCAGAGGGGGACAACAGUUGGAAACGACUGCUAAUACCGCAUAAGACCACGGUGUGGCAUCACACAGAGGUCAAAGGAGAAAUCCGCUGAAGGAUGGGCUCGCGUCCAAUUAGCUAGAUGGUGAGGUAACGGCCCACCAUGGCGACGAUUGGUAGCCGGACUGAGAGGUUGAUCGGCCACAUUGGGACUGAGACACGGCCCAGACUCCUACGGGAGGCAGCAGUGGGGAAUAUUGCACAAUGGAGGAAACUCUGAUGCAGCGACGCCGCGUGAGGGAAGAAGGUCUUCGGAUUGUAAACCUCUGUUGUCAGGGACGAUGAUGACGGUACCUGACGAGGAAGCCACGGCUAACUACGUGCCAGCCGCCGCC